This is a long non-coding RNA of Clupea harengus (Atlantic herring), 328 nucleotides long. Lineage: Eukaryota; Metazoa; Chordata; Actinopteri; Clupeiformes; Clupeidae. The record is from Ensembl.
GUGGUUGCUGGAGCUGUUGUGGUAGUUGAUGCAGCUCUUGUGGUAGUUGCAGCAGCUGUUGGGGUGGUUGUAGCAGCUGUUGUGGUAGUUGCAGCAGCUGUUGUGGUGCUUGCUGGAGCUGUUGUGGUGGUUGCAGCAGCUGUUGUGCUAGUUGUAGCAGCUGUUGUGGGUGCUGUUGUGGUAGUGGUGGGAGCUGUUGUUGGUGCUGUUGUGGUAGUGGUUGCAGAUGUUGUGGGUUCUGUUGUGGCUUCCGUUGUUGUAGUUGCAGGAGCUGUUGUGGUAGUGGUGGGAGCUGUUGUGGUAAUUGCUGCAGCUGUUUUGGUAGUUG